UACGAUGAACACCAGCUCAGCAAUGGCU
Molecule: small RNA, 28 nt
Filed under: Bombyx mori (domestic silkworm)
Lineage: Eukaryota; Metazoa; Arthropoda; Insecta; Lepidoptera; Bombycidae
Description: ovarian small RNA-21036
Source: RNAcentral